This 381-nucleotide ribosomal RNA is filed under the name uncultured bacterium. Its description in RNAcentral is "bacterial SSU rRNA". It matches the Rfam family "Bacterial small subunit ribosomal RNA", at positions 362 to 758 of the family's 1533-position model. The record is from RNAcentral.
UAUUGGACAAUGGGCGAAAGCCUGAUCCAGCCAUGCCGCGUGUGUGAAGAAGGUCUUCGGAUUGUAAAGCACUUUAAGUUGGGAGGAAGGGCAUUAACCUAAUACGUUAGUGUUUUGACGUUACCGACAGAAUAAGCACCGGCUAACUCUGUGCCAGCAGCCGCGGUAAUACAGAGGGUGCAAGCGUUAAUCGGAAUUACUGGGCGAAAGCGCGCGUAGGUGGUUUGUUAAGUUGGAUGUAAAUCCCCGGGCUCAACCUGGAACUGCAUUCAAAACUACUACAGAGAUGGAGAGGGUGGUGGAAUUUCCUGUGAGCGGUAAAUGCGAGUAAAGAAGAACACCAGUGGCGAGGCGCACCUGGCAAAUCUGCUCUGCGUGAGA